GAUAAACGCUGGCGGUGUACAUAAGACAUGCAAGUCGAACGGGAGAAGACUGGAAGAUUUAUCUACUAGCUCGGACACCGUGGCGGACGGGUGAGUAACACGUAAGCAACCUGCCUAUAAGAGGGGAAUAACAGUGAGAAAUUACUGAUAAUACCGCAUAAGCUGGAGGUAUCGCAUGAUACAUUCAGAAAAGAUUUAUCGCUUAUAGAUGGGCUUGCGUCUGAUUAGCUAGUUGGUGAGAUAACAGCUCACCAAGGCGACGAUCAGUAGCCGGAUUGAGAGGUUGAACGGCCACAUUGGGACUGAGACACGGCCCAGACUCCUACGGGAGGCAGCAGUCGGGAAUAUUGCACAAUGGAGGAAACUCUGAUGCAGUGACACCGCGUAUAGGAAGAAGGUCUUAGGAUUGUAAGCUAUUGUCGUGUGAGAAGAAAAUGACCAUCACAGGAG
This 450-nucleotide ribosomal RNA is filed under the name Clostridiales bacterium oral taxon 075. RNAcentral's name for it is "bacterial SSU rRNA". It matches the Rfam family "Bacterial small subunit ribosomal RNA", at positions 28 to 465 of the family's 1533-position model. The record is from RNAcentral. Lineage: Bacteria; Bacillati; Bacillota; Clostridia; Eubacteriales.